RNAcentral lists this ribosomal RNA (643 nucleotides) under uncultured Actinomycetes bacterium. RNAcentral describes it as "bacterial SSU rRNA". It matches the Rfam family "Bacterial small subunit ribosomal RNA", at positions 232 to 885 of the family's 1533-position model. Lineage: Bacteria; Bacillati; Actinomycetota; Actinomycetes. The record is from RNAcentral.
CGCGGCCUAUCAGCUUGCCGGUGGGGUGAUGGCCUACCAAGGCGACGACGGGUAGCCGGCCUGAGAGGGCGACCGGCCACACUGGGACUGAGACACGGCCCAGACUCCUACGGGAGGCAGCAGUGGGGAAUAUUGCACAAUGGGCGAAAGCCUGAUGCAGCGACGCCGCGUGAGGGAUGACGGCCUUCGGGUUGUAAACCUCUUUCAGCAGGGAAGAAGCGAGAGUGACGGUACCUGCAGAAGAAGCGCCGGCUAACUACGUGCCAGCAGCCGCGGUAAUACGUAGGGCGCAAGCGUUGUCCGGAAUUAUUGGGCGUAAAGAGCUCGUAGGCGGCUUGUUGCGUCGGUUGUGAAAGCCCGGGGCUUAACCCCGGGUCUGCAGUCGAUACGGGCAGGCUAGAGUGUGGUAGGGGAGAUCGGAAUUCCUGGUGUAGCGGUGAAAUGCGCAGAUAUCAGGAGGAACACCGGUGGCGAAGGCGGAUCUCUGGGCCAUUACUGACGCUGAGGAGCGAAAGCGUGGGGAGCGAACAGGAUUAGAUACCCUGGUAGUCCACGCCGUAAACGCUGGGAACUAGGUGUUGGCGACAUUCCACGUCGUCGGUGCCGCAGCUAACGCAUUAAGUUCCCCGCCUGGGGAGUACGG